RNAcentral lists this ribosomal RNA (487 nucleotides) under uncultured bacterium. Its description in RNAcentral is "bacterial SSU rRNA". It matches the Rfam family "Bacterial small subunit ribosomal RNA", at positions 28 to 507 of the family's 1533-position model. The record is from RNAcentral.
GACGAACGCUGGCGGCGUGCUUAAUACAUGCAAGUCGAGCGAGGUUAUUUUUUCAAAGUCCUUCGGGGUGGCGAAAUUUUAACCUAGCGGCGGACGGGUGAGUAACGCGUGGGCAACCUGCCCUAAAGCCCGGGAUAACAGUGGGAAACUACUGCUAACACCGGAUGGUCUCAUUUUGUGGCAUCAUAAGAUGAGUAAAGGUUACGCUUUAGGAUGGGCCCGCGUCCCAUUAGCUAGUUGGUGAGGUAACUGCUCACCAAGGCGACGAUGGGUAGCCGGCCUGAGAGGGUGGACGGCCACACUGGGACUGAGACACGGCCCAGACUCCUACGGGAGGCAGCAGUAGGGAAUAUUGCGCAAUGGAGGGAACUCUGACGCAGCGACGCCGCGUGAGCGAUGAAGGUCUUCGGAUCGUAAAGCUCUGUCCUCAGGGAAGAAGGUUAUUAACUUGACGGUACCUGAGGAGGAAGCCCCGGCUAACUACGUG